CGCGUCAGAAUGCGAACUGCAGGACACAUGAACACCGACAAGUUGAACGCAUAUUGCACAUCGUACAACAGUACGAUGUACACAUUUUUGAGUGCCUAUAUUUACCCAUUAAACUUUACGCUGCUACAGCGUAUGCGGAGUGACGUUUUCCCGCCUUCAGUGUGCGAUAAAACGUUCAAGAUAGUCAAACACAGGACGUGCUUGCGCGCGACCCGUGGUUGAUGAGUACACCCCACUUGCUGGACCUGGCUUCCACUUGCGCUGUACUUCAUCAUCAACACCCACUUUGACCAACCCACUCGACUCCUAUGUAGGCCUCAAAUAAUGUGUGAC
RNAcentral lists this ribosomal RNA (333 nucleotides) under Culex adamesi. RNAcentral describes it as "eukaryotic LSU rRNA". The stretch from base 1 to 97 matches the Rfam family "5.8S ribosomal RNA", at positions 56 to 154 of the family's 154-position model. The record is from RNAcentral. Lineage: Eukaryota; Metazoa; Arthropoda; Insecta; Diptera; Culicidae.